UACAGAGGUGGCAAGCGUUGUUCGGAUUCACUGGGCGUAAAGGGUGCGUAGGUGGCUUGGAAAGUUUGAUGUGAAAGCUCAGGGCUUAACCCUGAAAUGGCAUUGAAUACUAUCGAGCUGGAGGUUUGGAGGGGGGACUGGAAUUCUCGGUGUAGCAGUGAAAUGCGUAGAUAUCGAGAGGAACACCAGUGGCGAAGGCGAGUCCCUGGACAACACCUGACACUGAGGCACGAAAGCCGGGGGAGCAAACAGG
Molecule: ribosomal RNA, 253 nt
Filed under: uncultured bacterium
Lineage: Bacteria
Description: partial 16S ribosomal RNA
Rfam family: Bacterial small subunit ribosomal RNA
Source: RNAcentral